Molecule: non-coding RNA, 244 nt
Filed under: Desulfocarbo indianensis
Lineage: Bacteria; Pseudomonadati; Thermodesulfobacteriota; Desulfarculia; Desulfarculales; Desulfarculaceae
Source: RNAcentral
UAUUGAUAUCCGGAAGCGGGCGCUCCCUUUGGGGGGCUUGACAAGGGAAGACGGUGCGAAGCCGUCGCGGUCCCGCCGCUGUAACCGAGGACGAGGGCCGCAGGCAGGCCACUGCCGGCAGAAUCCCUUGGCGCGAAAGGCGCGAGAAGCCUCCAGCGCCGCCGGGGAAAGCGAGGCCGGCGGGAAGGCGCGGCCCUUCGGACGAUCCGGGAGCCAGAAGACCUGUCCGUUUCCCAAAGCCGCC